This is a long non-coding RNA of Cydia splendana, 413 nucleotides long. RefSeq lists it as uncharacterized. The record is from RefSeq and is a predicted model, not a curated record. NCBI's taxonomy places the organism in Eukaryota, Metazoa, Arthropoda, Insecta, Lepidoptera, Tortricidae. The transcript has 2 exons.
AUGACGGCACGGACGGCGUCGAUGGGCAUUAAAACCGCUGCCAGCACUAAAUCUAACUUCAGAGACUCAACAUUACGAUGAGGUUUAGAGCAGGCUUUCUCCUCCAAAAUAUUCCACCGACCAUAGGCAGUCUUGUUGAAAUAUCCAGUGCUUACCGGCAAAUAAAGUAUCAUUUAGCGGCUUAACGACUCUCCUCAAAAUGUCGUUUUGAUAGUUCGUAGCACGUAUUUUACCCCUUGUUCACAAAAAUGAAGCUCUGUGACGCCUUCAUAGGAUACUCCCCACCAAACCAUGACAUAUGCAGGAUGGUGACCUCUUUCUACCCUUGGAACUCUUUCAGAAGCUUCUUGGGAACUGUGAGCAUAUAUUUUAUCAUUUUGGCGGUUGAAUUUUUGCUCCACGGUAAAGAUUUU